GAUGAACGCUGGCGGCGUGCCUAAUACAUGCAAGUCGAGCGAACAGACGAGGAGCUUGCUCCUCUGACGUUAGCGGCGGACGGGUGAGUAACACGUGGAUAACCUACCUAUAAGACUGGGAAAACUUCGGGAAACCGGAGCUAAUACCGGAUAAUAUAUUGAACCGCAUGGUUCAAUAGUGAAAGACGGUUUUGCUGUCACUUAUAGAUGGAUCCGCGCCGCAUUAGCUAGUUGGUAAGGUAACGGCUUACCAAGGCAACGAUGCGUAGCCGACCUGAGAGGGUGAUCGGCCACACUGGAACUGAGACACGGUCCAGACUCCUGCGGGAGGCAGCAGUAGGGAAUCUGCCGCAAUGGGCGAAAGCCUGGCGGAGCAACGCCGCGUGAGUGAUGAAGGUCUUCGGAUCGUAAAACUCUGUUAUUAGGGAAGAACAAAUGUGUAAGUAACUAUGCACGUCUUGACGGUACCUAAUCAGAAAGCCACGGCUAACUACGUG
Molecule: ribosomal RNA, 497 nt
Filed under: uncultured bacterium
Lineage: Bacteria
Description: partial 16S ribosomal RNA
Rfam family: Bacterial small subunit ribosomal RNA
Source: RNAcentral